This 635-nucleotide ribosomal RNA is filed under the name Enterococcus faecalis. Its description in RNAcentral is "bacterial SSU rRNA". It matches the Rfam family "Bacterial small subunit ribosomal RNA", at positions 70 to 690 of the family's 1533-position model. Lineage: Bacteria; Bacillati; Bacillota; Bacilli; Lactobacillales; Enterococcaceae. The record is from RNAcentral.
UCCCGAGUGCUUGCACUCAAUUGGAAAGAGGAGUGGCGGACGGGUGAGUAACACGUGGGUAACCUACCCAUCAGAGGGGGAUAACACUUGGAAACAGGUGCUAAUACCGCAUAACAGUUUAUGCCGCAUGGCAUAAGAGUGAAAGGCGCUUUCGGGUGUCGCUGAUGGAUGGACCCGCGGUGCAUUAGCUAGUUGGUGAGGUAACGGCUCACCAAGGCCACGAUGCAUAGCCGACCUGAGAGGGUGAUCGGCCACACUGGGACUGAGACACGGCCCAGACUCCUACGGGAGGCAGCAGUAGGGAAUCUUCGGCAAUGGACGAAAGUCUGACCGAGCAACGCCGCGUGAGUGAAGAAGGUUUUCGGAUCGUAAAACUCUGUUGUUAGAGAAGAACAAGGACGUUAGUAACUGAACGUCCCCUGACGGUAUCUAACCAGAAAGCCACGGCUAACUACGUGCCAGCAGCCGCGGUAAUACGUAGGUGGCAAGCGUUGUCCGGAUUUAUUGGGCGUAAAGCGAGCGCAGGCGGUUUCUUAAGUCUGAUGUGAAAGCCCCCGGCUCAACCGGGGAGGGUCAUUGGAAACUGGGAGACUUGAGUGCAGAAGAGGAGAGUGGAAUUCCAUGGGUGUAACCGG